RNAcentral lists this ribosomal RNA (565 nucleotides) under uncultured Glomus. Its description in RNAcentral is "SSU rRNA". It matches the Rfam family "Eukaryotic small subunit ribosomal RNA", at positions 546 to 1106 of the family's 1831-position model. Lineage: Eukaryota; Fungi; Glomeromycota; Glomeromycetes; Glomerales; Glomeraceae. The record is from RNAcentral.
AAUUGGAGGGCAAGUCUGGUGCCAGCAGCCGUGGUAAUUCCAGCUCCAAUAGCGUAUAUUAAAGUUGUUGCAGUUAAAAAGCUCGUAGUUGAAUUUCGGGAUUGACACAUCGGUCGUGCCUUAAGGGGUAUGAACUGGUGUAGUCAAUUUCUCACCUUCUGGAGAACCGCGAUGCCCUUAAUUGGGUGUCACGGGGAACCAGGACCUUUACUUUGAAAAAAUUAGAGUGUUUAAAGCAGGCAUUUUGCUUGAAUACAUUAGCAUGGAAUAAUAAAAUAGGACGGCAUGAUUCUAUUUUGUUGGUUUCUAGGAUCACCGUAAUGAUUAAUAGGGAUAGUUGGGGGCAUUAGUAUUCAAUUGUCAGAGGUGAAAUUCUUGGAUUUAUUGAAGACUAACUACUGCGAAAGCAUUUGCCAAGGAUGUUUUCAUUAAUCAAGAACGAAAGUUAGGGGAUCGAAGACGAUCAGAUACCGUCGUAGUCUUAACCAUAAACUAUGCCGACUAGGAAUCAGACGAUGUUAAUUUUUUAAUGACUCGUUUGGCACCUUACGGGAAACCAAAGUGU